RNAcentral lists this long non-coding RNA (302 nucleotides) under Trifolium pratense (red clover). Its description in RNAcentral is "long non-coding RNA (TPRA_LNC008057)". The record is from RNAcentral. Lineage: Eukaryota; Viridiplantae; Streptophyta; Magnoliopsida; Fabales; Fabaceae.
AUAUCUUCAGUUCAUAUUUUAACCAUUAUACUCCAGGUAUGGGAGAAAGGUGUAUGGAGACUACCGUAAAAUCAUUAUGAUUAAUAGUGUCAUGUUGGCUAUACUUUUGUGUAAAAUGGUCUUACAAUGACUUUUGAGUCUUUUAUACCAUGGCUUCUUCUUAAAGCAGCUUUUUUCAGAAGCUUCUUCAUUUGACUAUUCCAUUAACACCUAGCCUUGUUUGACCUUCCUUUAUUGCGGCCGCUCGUGCGGUCUGUUAUUGUGCCACUUUCGUCUGUCUUCAUUGCUGCAAUGCAACACCU